UUCUCUUGUAGCUUCUUCGAUCCCCACCAGCAUCCUUAUCCAUCCGAUGCACCACCUCUUCCGAUUAGCCGUUUGUUGAAGAUUUCGUUGCUCGCCACCACAGAACCAAUUCCCAAUCCAUCUCCACUUCUCCAUUCAUUUCUUUGAAUCUCUUCCGUUACUGGCGCAGUUGGUGGUUGCGCGGAGUACGCAGACGCGUUCGUCUUGUUCUCAAGGGUGUGGAUCCUUGACCUCGUCGAGUCCGACGGAGUGGCCAUGCUGCGGAGUGGCCAUGGGGAGUAGCAGGGAAAACACGGGGCUGCAUUGCUCAAGCUCGUCAUGGCCGUCGGCUAAGCCAUGGCAGAUUUGCUGUAGUUUGGCCUCAUGGAGGAGGCUGUGUGGGAACCAAUUGGUGGGAACUCACCAAGUCGCCUACUGAUGAUGAAUUGUUAGAUCUGACAUCCGAGGUACGGGACAGAGUUUGGGUUUUCUGAUAUUGUCCUCAUAGGUAUUACAGUGGCAAUGGUGAAACCUUAGUAUAAUUAGAUUAUGGAAUACAAAUAGCAGCACACGACCGUGAGAUGCUGGCCUUUUCAUUUCUGGUGCUGUCAGACUACUACCACACGUAAGUGCCAACUGAUGAUAUGCAUCAUAUGUAAUGAAGAUUAUUUCCUGUACUUUAUUUGUAGCAGUGUUGUACUACAUAGUAUUUUAAUUUGCUCUUAGCAAGAAAUAAUCUAUUCAUGAUGCCUUUUCUUUUAAAAAAGGCUUUAUGAACCGGAAGUUGGUUAUUAUGUGUCAAUAAUUUGGCCAUAUGAGAUAGAUGCUUUCUUACCAAGAAUAAUUAACUGAAAGAAGUGCAUGUUUGAAUGUAUUUCUAAAAUUUACAAUAUGAAUUGCUUUUGAUAGUGUUGUAUUCAUGUAUUUUCGUGAUAUUUAAGUUUUUAAAAACCUUUUUCAAAAAUUAGUUUGAUGGAUUAUACUACUAUUGGUAAUUAGAUUACCUUUUGUGUGUUAAUAUGUCACCUUGGAUAGUAAUUUGGGUAUAGGUUUGUUGAGCAGAAGCUUACAUAUUGAAUUUUCUCAAGUAACUUCCGGUCACCCUAUCAAGUUACCGAGAAACAAUCUUCCAGUUGCCAACAAUUUUUAGUGACCUAAGCAAUUAGUGUGAUUUGAUACUAUAUUUGCUUUGCUGCUAAGUCUAAAUGUGGGAACUUUGUUUUUGGUCAGAAUUGUGCCGCUGGGCAAAGCUAGCGUUAUGUACAUAUCCGGUUGUGCUAUGAAGUUACUAGAGUAAGAUCUCAGUCUCCUUUUAUUGCCACUACGGAGCUGACGUGAUGACGAUGACGAUCUUUUGUCUUGCUGCUUGUCUUUCUUUAAUGUGGAUUCAUUGCUGUCAUAUGGCUCCUCUUUCACAGGCACCAGUUUGCAGGAAGGUCUAACUCAUUCUCGCAAAAAUUGAUGAUACCAUUUAUUGAAAUUCUGAUGAAUUACCUGGUCUUGCUGGUUUUCGUGCCUCAUUUUAGUAAGUUCUUGCAAUGUUCUCCGCCUGUAAAACAUUUGUUCUUCUAGUGUUCCCUGAUUACUUCUAUCUAUACUCAUCAUUUUUGGUAAGGUUACUUGUGUUGAGUCCCUGCACAUAUAUAAAACAAAUAAUAAUAUAUACAAUCUUGAAUCAACAUGAGUCACUAUUCAUGAGUGGGAAUUUUUAAUUGGUAGUGUUUCAUACCUUUCAAGAAGUUCUUGUGCUUCUGGUAUGUCCAGAUCUAUAUAUAUUCUUGUGGCACUGGUUGACUUUAGGCACAAACCUAUUUAAUUAACCAAUUAGAAUUUUUAAAUGAUAAGAGCAGCAUCUAAGAUUUAUGGACUUACCAUUGAAUCUCUGCACCAUCGUUGAUGUAAUAAUAAUGACAGUUUGGCUGCCAAUUACAUCCUCGGUCAAAAAGUAAGCAAACUUUCCCCAUAACGUGAUUAUGAUUUUAUCACCCCUAAAGAAUUUAAUUCGAGAAGUUAGUGUUAACCACAUGGGGCAUGCGUAGUUAAAUUUCAGACAUACAUAUGCAUAUGCACUUACUCUGGCAUUAGUAUUUCAAUCUCGCGGAUAUAUGAAGGUUGUGGGCUCUUUUUUGUUAUUCUUGUCUCCACGGGCUUCAUUUUUGUUAGAAGUCUAAUGACAUCUGUAUAUUUGGAAAUUAGUAAUAUAACAAUUAGAAAUAUCAAUUAUUUGGAAGCCGUAAUUACAACUAUAAACAUACCUGAGCAUUGUGUAUCUUUUCCUGCCCUUUCUUCGAGUGUCUCCAUGGUAGCAAACUCGAAGCAAUAGUCCGGAAAAACUUCUGAAGAUCCUUUUAUCUCCUUUACCUUUGUAUUGUAUGCAAAAAAUAUUUUAAUUUCAUUGCUCACUGGCCUAUAUUUUGUGGAUUCCACAACCUUAAAAUUGCUGAAUCCGUAAAUAGACUUCUCAUUGAUCUUUGAUCUAAAAGUAUCUAUUAGAUUCUUCCAGAUAGUAGCAUGAAUUGUUUCACCCUGUAAAAACAAUCAAUUAUGGUUAGUAACUGUUGCUUAAUCUGAAAAAAAAUCCAAUUAACUAUAUUGAAAAACAGACCUGCUCAUCCAUGAGUAUCAUAUCUAGGCUAAUAAGCUCAUCGGUAGUAGGAUUAACUGAAUCCCAAAUCCUCAUUACUUUCACUUGAAUGUUCCAGUUUUGUCCCCUUGUAGUUAAUUCGCUCAACUUUGUGUAUGCCAUAGUCUUAUGUCUUCAAAAUUAAUAGGAAAAAAUUAGUCAAUGGAUAUAGUAUUUAUGAAGAUCCUAUCCAUAAAAAAGGUUGUUAAAUAACAAUUACCAAGUCUGGUAAUUCAGCCCAGAAGUUCUUUGUCGUCACUUCUUCCGACGUUGAUUGGAGCAGCUGGGCGUGGCUUUGUCGGGUGUCGGCGGGCUUUGGCGUGACUUCCACCAACGUCAAGUGAAGCGGUUGGAGAUGACUUGUCGACUUCAAGCUGUGCGGACGGCGAGGCGUGUGUUUCGUCUGGCGUGUUUCAAGAUGUGGUGGUCGUCGAUUUCUAAUUGUUUGCUGCGUGCUUGUGUGGCCGGCUGCACUUAUUUAUAUGGGUUGAGGUGGCUGGGUUGACGUGGCGGAGACCGUGUGGAGAUCUUGUACGUAUUCGUUCCUGUCUUGGAACUUUCAUCACGUGAGGUCUGGUGGGUUUCCUUAUUUGAUUAGGUUUCUUAUUUAAGUAGGUUUGACUACUAUUUUUGCUCCUUGACCCAUUGAUGGAAAUAUUCUCUUUUUGUUUUUGCGGCUUAACAUGUCAGGCUAGUUGAUGUCACGACGGACACACUAUAUUUGUACAUGACGUGUUGUACUACUUGUACAUGUGAAUAUUUUUACGUAAUAUGUGAACAUGGA
This is a long non-coding RNA of Triticum dicoccoides, 3386 nucleotides long. RefSeq lists it as uncharacterized. The record is from RefSeq and is a predicted model, not a curated record. The transcript is spliced from 3 exons. Lineage: Eukaryota; Viridiplantae; Streptophyta; Magnoliopsida; Poales; Poaceae.